CUCCUUCCGAUCCACCGUCAAAUGCCCCUUAAACAAAUAUCCUAAUAAACCAAAAAUUCAAUUCCAAUAAAAGAGAAUAAAUUUUGUGUUUUUUCAGGCAAAUUUCCAAAAUAACUACAUGAAAAUUUCAAAAAUCAAUGGGUUUCUGUAAUUUUCAGAACAGGGAGAAAGAACACCAUGAACCCAGAAUCCCAACCCCGGCCGGACAGUCAU
RNAcentral lists this long non-coding RNA (213 nucleotides) under Malus domestica (apple). RNAcentral's name for it is "long non-coding RNA (MDOM_LNC004911)". The record is from RNAcentral. Lineage: Eukaryota; Viridiplantae; Streptophyta; Magnoliopsida; Rosales; Rosaceae.